RNAcentral lists this ribosomal RNA (272 nucleotides) under uncultured bacterium. Its description in RNAcentral is "partial 16S ribosomal RNA". It matches the Rfam family "Bacterial small subunit ribosomal RNA", at positions 338 to 627 of the family's 1533-position model. The record is from RNAcentral.
CCUACGGGAGGCAGCAGUAGGGAAUAUUGCUCAAUGGGGGAAACCCUGAAGCAGCAACGCCGCGUGGAGGAUGAAGGUUUUAGGAUUGUAAACUCCUUUUGUAAGAGAAGAUUAUGACGGUAUCUUACGAAUAAGCACCGGCUAACUCCGUGCCAGCAGCCGCGGUAAUACGGAGGGUGCACGCGUUCUUCGGAAUCACUGGGCGUAAAGAGCGUGUAGGUGGCUGGUCAAGUCAGAUGUGAAAUCGUGUAGCUUAACUACAGAACUGCACU